RNAcentral lists this ribosomal RNA (474 nucleotides) under uncultured bacterium. RNAcentral describes it as "bacterial SSU rRNA". It matches the Rfam family "Bacterial small subunit ribosomal RNA", at positions 29 to 506 of the family's 1533-position model. The record is from RNAcentral.
ACGAACGCUGGCGGCGUGCUUAACACAUGCAAGUCGAGCGGUAAGGCACUUCGGUGUACACGAGCGGCGAACGGGUGAGUAACACGUGAGUAAUCUGCCCCCCUCUUCGGGAUAAGCUUCGGAAACGGGGUCUAAUACCGGAUAUGACACCUCCCUGCAUGGGGUGGUGUGGAAAGUUUUUUCGGUGGGGGAUGUGCUCGCGGCCUAUCAGCUUGUUGGUGGGGUAAUGGCCUACCAAGGCUUCGACGGGUAGCCGGCCUGAGAGGGUGACCGGCCACACUGGGACUGAGACACGGCCCAGACUCCUACGGGAGGCAGCAGUGGGGAAUAUUGGACAAUGGGCGGAAGCCUGAUCCAGCAACGCCGCGUGAGGGAUGACGGCCUUCGGGUUGUAAACCUCUUUCAGUACCGACGAAGUUGCGCCUUUUUGGGCGUGGUGACGGUAGGUACAGAAGAAGCACCGGCCAACUACGU